This 253-nucleotide ribosomal RNA is filed under the name uncultured bacterium. Its description in RNAcentral is "partial 16S ribosomal RNA". It matches the Rfam family "Bacterial small subunit ribosomal RNA", at positions 524 to 776 of the family's 1533-position model. The record is from RNAcentral.
UACGUAGGAUGCAAGCGUUGUCCGGAAUUAUUGGGCGUAAAGAGCUCGUAGGCGGCUUGUCGCGUCGUUCGUGAAAACCUGGGGCUCAACCCCAGGCUUGCGGGCGAUACGGGCAGGCUAGAGUUCGGUAGGGGAGACUGGAAUUCCUGGUGUAGCGGUGAAAUGCGCAGAUAUCAGGAGGAACACCGGUGGCGAAGGCGGGUCUCUGGGCCGAUACUGACGCUGAGGAGCGAAAGCGUGGGGAGCGAACAGG